Bos taurus (domestic cattle) is the source of this 1778-nucleotide long non-coding RNA. The record is from Ensembl. Lineage: Eukaryota; Metazoa; Chordata; Mammalia; Artiodactyla; Bovidae.
GGGACUUGGUGAGGAGAGCAAAUUUAAAGGCCCCCAGAGGAGACUAAGCUUGAUGAUAAGAUGAAGGCCACGCCAGCAUCACCACACAAGGAGAGAGGUGGAAAGAGACAAGAAGAGGUGGUUGUAUUAGUUUCCUAUGGCUGCUAUGGUGGCUCAAAACAAGAGAAAUUCAUUGUCUCAUAAACCAGGAGGCCAGAAGUUGAAAUUAAGGAUCAUUCUGACCAGUAUAUAAAGAAAGAGUUCUCAGUAGAAGAGAAAAGACAUACGAAAAGCCAGUGCACUGACUCCUGCAGUCAUUAAGGAGAGAGAUGAUAGAGGCUUGAAGCGAGCGUGUUGGCAUUUACAGCCGAGGGGUGUGGACCUUGGGGGAAGGAUCUGAAGGAUUUGCUACUCUGGUGGGACUCUCCCUAUGGGACGAAUGAUCAUUCAGCACUGACUUAAGGCUUGGCUAUGUGACUAGCUGUGGCCAAUGAACUGUGAGCAGAAGUGGCGAGUUAUUCACCAAACAGAAACUUUCAAAUCCAUUGCAUGCUCUGCAUUGCACUUUGCCUUCAGGGUCAAGAUCCCAGCUGGGACUCACUGCUUCAGCACAAACCCAGUGGAAGAAGAUGUGAAGAGCAGGUCUCUACCCAAUAUUUCGUGUGGGGGAAAAAUAAACCUUGUUUCUGGGAGCUAUGGAGACUCGGGACUAACCAUUAACCACAGCAUAAACUAGAGAAAGCUGAGAAAACCAUCACAUCCUAUGUAGGGAAGUUGUAAAAUGAGAUGCUCUUAAUGGCUCUGGAGCCCACGGGCUUGUGGGAGGAACAGCAACCUUUACAUCAAACUUAUCUAAGGUCUGAGCCUAAGUCUGCCACAUACUAAGUUCUGAACAUCCACCAAUGAACCAAUGUCUCUGAGACUCAAUUUCCCAUCUGUCUUACAGGACUGUUGUGGGAUUAAAUGUGACCAUAUUGGCAAAGCAUAUGGUACAUUCCCACCUCUCUCUCCACAAAACAUCCUCAAGAGGCAUGUGGGAUCUUAGCCCCAUGACUAGGGAUCAAACCUGCACCCCCUGCAUCGGUAGAAGUCUUAAACACUGGACCUUCAGGGAAUCCUAAUAGCCAAAAAGGGGGAAAUAACCCCGGAAUCCAUCAGUGGGUGAAUGCGUAAACGAGCUGUGGUCCUUGCAUACAAUGGACUAUUAUUGAGCCUCAUGGAAGGAAGCCCAUGGAUGAACUUUGAAAACAUUGUGCUCAGGAAAUGAAAGAAGUCAGACAUAAAGGCCACAUACGGUAUCAGUUCAUUUAUGUGUAAUGCCCAAGGUAGGUCAGUCCAUAGAGGCUUAAGUAAUCUAGAUGACUACUUGCAGAAGAAAGAGAUAAAAGGGAAUGGGGUGAUGCCUGAUGGGUGUGGGGUUUAUUUGUGGGGUGAUUAAAAUAUUCUGAAACUGGCAAUAAUGGUUCAACCUUGUGAAUGUACUAAAAACUAUGAGACUGUGCAUUUCAAAACUAUGAAUUUAAUAUCAUCUCAAUGAAAAGAAAAGAGAAGAAGAAAGGUAUAAUUUGGGAGCGUCUUCUUAGUAGCACGUGGCAUGAAGGCUUGUAAGCCGCUGACUCAAUUCCAAUUGGACAGUUCUAUUUUUGGUUUUUUAAGGAGCCUCCAUACUGUUCUCCAUAGUGGCUGUACUGACUUACAUUCCCACCAACAGGGCAGGGGGGUUCCCUUUUGUCCACACUUGCUCCAGAAUUUAUCAUCUAAAGAUUUUUUGAAGAUAGCCAUUCUGACUGGUGCAAGAU